UCGCAGCUAGGCGAGGGGUGUGAGGCGGCGCAGGGCCUGGGCCAUCCCGGGCCCAGCAGCACCGCCUGGGAAGCGCUCGGCCGCCGGACUGGAGUCAGCGGAGCAGGACCGCGCCCUGAGCGGCCGGGCGAUGGGGUGUCGGCCACCGCGCCUCUGGGGGGGGCCUCCCUGCGGCGCCUGGGCGGGGUGCUCGGCCGCAGGAGAGCCCCUGGGCCCGCCUCGGUGCGGGGCCUCUGGGGAGCGGGGGCUCGCCACCGCCCUCCCGUUCUGUUCGCCCCAGCGGCAGCUCCAUGGGGGGAGUUGAGCAAUAUUUCGGGUUGCCAGUCUUGGUUGGAUCUGUUCUUGGAGGUGUUUUCAUGCGAGAUUAUCUCAGUUGGGUUCUCCCUAUACUUCCAUGCAAAACAUAACAUGGAACUCUGAUAGCAAAAGCUAAAAAAUUGAUUGUGCAGAGAAGAGAAAUGCACAGUCCAACCCUGCAAAAAGUGUGUGACUGAAGUUUGAGAAAGUGGGAAUGGUUAAAAAAAAACAACCUCAUUUCUGCAUCACCAGGACAAAAUGAAGUGUUCCCAUUUAAAUAUUUGAUGUAUCUAUUGAAAAAGAAUACCUACUUAUUUCUAUAACCUGUAUCCUCCUUCACCUUUCUGCUGUAUGUUAGAUUAAUGUCAAGUCCGGCAUUUGGACUGUAAACUUUUUGGGGGUAGAAAGCUGUCUUCUGUGUGUUUUCCCACUUAACCCAUCUGUGGACACUAUGAAAUAUCAUCUCCACAGCUGUAGGGAGGAGAAGAAAGAAGUGAGAAUGGGGAAGGCUUUAAGUUUAAUGGGUUGAUGAAGGGGAUAGAUUUUUGAUAUAUUGCAAAAGGGUAGCAUUCACUGAAAACAUUUGUUAUAUACUUCUACAGAUUUUAAUUUCAAAAGAGGAUUUUGCAACAAAAAAAGAACAUAGCUAAUAGCUGUUGGAACUCCCUUCUCUUCACUGAAAGCAUUUAUGUUUUGAAAGCAAAGGUAUGCCAAUGCCUGAUCAGCACAUGUAAAUUCUAGAAGGGGAAGGAGCCAGUAGCCUGCCAAAAGACUGAGAAAGAGGCUUUGAGAUGCAAUCUAGAAGCAUUUUCAUGCUAAAAUAAAUGACAAGAUCACAUUUCCA
This 1141-nucleotide long non-coding RNA is filed under the name Chelonoidis abingdonii (Abingdon island giant tortoise). RNAcentral's name for it is "lncRNA (ENSCABG00000007520.1)". Lineage: Eukaryota; Metazoa; Chordata; Testudines; Testudinidae. The record is from RNAcentral.